This 26-nucleotide non-coding RNA is filed under the name Mus musculus (house mouse). RNAcentral also lists the same sequence under 1 other name. Lineage: Eukaryota; Metazoa; Chordata; Mammalia; Rodentia; Muridae. The record is from RNAcentral.
UAACUAUGGUCCCUGCUCAGCAUUCA